This 416-nucleotide ribosomal RNA is filed under the name uncultured bacterium. RNAcentral describes it as "partial 16S ribosomal RNA". The record is from RNAcentral.
AAUAUUCUCGACUGCAGCCUCCCGUAGGAGUUUGGGCAGUGUCUCAGUCCCAAUGUUGGGGGCCGUGCUCUCACACCCCCUACCCGUCAUAGCCUUGGUAGUCUUUUACACUACCAACAAGCUGAUAGGACACAGGCCGCUCCAAAAGCGAUAAAUCUUUACUCCGUAGAGCACAUCGCGUAUUAUUCCGCCUUUCGACGGAUUAUCCGCGACUUUUGGGAACGUUCCUAUGCAUUACUAACCCGUUUGCCGAGGGUCUAAACCCUCUCGACUUGCAUGCCUUAUCCACGCCGCCAGCGUUCAUCCUGAGCCAGGAUCAAACUCUAAUCACUAGUGAAUUCGCGGCCGCCUGCAGGUCGACCAUAUGGGAAGCUCCCAACGCGUUGGAUGCAUAGCUUGAGUAUCUAUAGUGUCAC